UUUUUAAUCUCUCCUAGGCAGUGAUAUGACCUCCCAACAAGAAUUCACUUCUUGCCUAAAGGAAACACUAAGUGGAUUAGCCAAAAAUGCCACUGACCUUCAGGUGAGGAGAAAGUAGUAGGGGCCCACAAGGGGUCCACUCCCAGACAUUUCUCCAGCAGAGUCUCAAAAGACAGAUGCUUUGAGUAUCAUCCCAAGUCUGUUGCUGUCUUAUUGUUUGUUACAGGCAAGUUUAGAUAGUUUAUCUUUGUCACCUGAGAGAGUGGUGAGCAUCCCAAGAAGGUAGUAUACCUGCUCACCUCUUACUUGUCCUAUCUAGAACUCCAGCAUGUCGGAAGAAGAGCUGACCAAGGCCAUGGAGGGGCUAGGCAUGGACGAAGGGGAUGGGGAAGGGAACAUCCUCCCCAUCAUGCAGAGUAUUAUGCAGAACCUACUCUCCAAGGAUGUGCUGUACCCAUCACUGAAGGAGAUCACAGAAAAGUAUCCAGAAUGGUUGCAGAGUCAUCGGGAAUCUCUACCUCCAGAGCAGUUUGAAAAAUAUCAGGAGCAGCA
Molecule: long non-coding RNA, 552 nt
Filed under: Homo sapiens (human)
Lineage: Eukaryota; Metazoa; Chordata; Mammalia; Primates; Hominidae
Description: non-protein coding lnc-COPA-1:3
Source: RNAcentral